This 1515-nucleotide long non-coding RNA is filed under the name Capra hircus (goat). RNAcentral describes it as "lncRNA (ENSCHIG00010007259.1)". Lineage: Eukaryota; Metazoa; Chordata; Mammalia; Artiodactyla; Bovidae. The record is from RNAcentral.
GCAUGGCAAAAAAUUUCAACUAUAUUUUUCAUUUCCAAACAUUCAUUCGGUUAUCAGACCUAUUUGAUCACUUUAGAAAUUUUCUUUUUCCUUAUUCAAAUGGUUUAUAUGUUCAACCUCAUCUUUCAUUUAACUAUAUUAAAAGUAUUUAUUUUAUAAUCUGUAUCUCAUAAUAUUAAUAUGGGAGGACUCUUUUUUCCCCCUGUUGUCUUAUCACAGUGGUUUCUUAUUUUUGUUUGGUUUGGUUUUAAAUUUUUGACUGUGACAGCUUAUUCCUUGGACUUUUGAGAGAAUUCUUCAGCAAAGACUUGCAUUUAAUUCCAUGGAUGCCAAGGGGCACAGUCAUUUUAAACAAUAUUAAAUGAGUUUGAGACCACUUGGUAGUAUGAAACCAGCAGUGCUAAACAGUAUUUUUUUUCUAAUUCUCACUUUGAUUGCUUCUUUGACAGAUGAGUUAUUUUAAAACUUCAUUGUUUUUAGCUACCCUCGAUUAUUCUCCAUGAGCAUUCUGCAAGUGAAACUUUAUAAGUACAACCUUACUCAGGUCUUGGUUAAUCUCCUGCCUACUAUACUAGAAAAACCAGUAUGUGUAGUCUAUAGCACCGAUGUCUCUGCACUUAGGGGAGAAUGCUCUUUAUCCUUUGUAUGUGUAUGUGUGUCUUUAAACUGUAUGUAGUGGCAUGUCUAAUCCAGAUCUUACAAAGUUAUUCCAGAGGAAAAUUUACAGACAAAACCUCCUAAGGAGGACAUCAGUGAUGAACUGAAUCACCUAGUUUCACCUGAAAACAAUGGAGUCCAUUGACUCAAGGCAGUCAAACAUGCCUCCUCCGAGGACACAGAAUUGAUUUGUUUAAUUUCUGAAAGGUCAUCUGCCCUGGGAAAGGGAAGGGGAAUUCUGCAUUCUCGUCCACGGUCUGUAACCUCAUCCCUGACAGCUGCAGGGACACAUGCACGGGAGGACUCGCUCCUUCCCCUCCUCCCACCUCCUGCCUUGCAUUCACACAUAGCUGUGUGGCAAUUUUCUUUUAUCACCAUGGCCUGGGAUGGGCUUUACUUGCUAGGCAUCAUGUUCUCCACAGAGGCUUCCCAUGGGAAAGUCUUUCUCAGGCCCUUCAAAUCACCAGACCAGGCAUUUUUUUCCCAUCUUGAGUUCAUUCUCAGAUUGACCUCAGUGCAUCAACAAGUCUUGAUGAGUGUACCUAUCCAUGCCCAACUCUGUCUGAGUCAGUGCCUUUUCAUACUGUCUUAGACAUUCCCAGUUCCAGAAGGCAAAAUACAAGGCAAUAGAGCCCAAAUCAAGCCAAAGCCAGGCUCCCAUGAACCUGUACCUUGAAUGCUGCAACUGCCUCCUAACUUACCUCCCUGGUUUCUAUCCCUGGGACCACUCCAAUGCAUUUAUGCAUGUCUGCAAGAGUAACUGACCUAAAAUUUAACUGUACAUACUUAAAUGACCACCAUCCCCUUUCCUCCACCAAGAAUUUUCAGAGGAUCCUCUUUGCUUAGAAAAUCAGGUAC